RNAcentral lists this ribosomal RNA (460 nucleotides) under uncultured bacterium. RNAcentral describes it as "partial 16S ribosomal RNA". It matches the Rfam family "Bacterial small subunit ribosomal RNA", at positions 338 to 795 of the family's 1533-position model. The record is from RNAcentral.
CCUACGGGUGGCAGCAGUGAGGAAUAUUGGUCAAUGGCCGGAAGGCUGAACCAGCCAUGCCGCGUGAAGGUCAGUGCCCUAUGGGCGUUAAACUUUCUUUGUUCGGGAGAAAUAAUGGUCACCGGUGGCCUGACGAGAGUACCGUACGAAUAAGCAUCGGGUAACCCCGGGCCAGCAGCCGCCGUUAUUAGGGGGGGGCAAGCGUUUUUCUGGUUUUUUUGGGUUAAAGGGGAGGUUGGGUGGGAGGUAAGUCAGCGGUGAAAUGCCCCCGCUCAACAGGGUGAAGUGCCAUUGAUACUGGCUGUCUGGAGUGCGGAUGAGGUGGGAGGAAUGUGUGGUGUAGCGGUGAAAUGCAUAGAUAUCACGCAGAACACCGAUUGCGAAGGCAUGUGACGAAUCCGCGAUUGACGCUGAUGCACGAAAGCGUGGGUAUCAAACAGGAUUAGAUACCCGUGUAGUC